UCCAAUUGCUAUAUAAUUUCC
RNAcentral lists this non-coding RNA (21 nucleotides) under Caenorhabditis elegans. Lineage: Eukaryota; Metazoa; Nematoda; Chromadorea; Rhabditida; Rhabditidae. The record is from RNAcentral.